CCUACGGGGUGCUGCAGUCGAGAAUCAUUCACAAUGGGGGAAACCCUGAUGGUGCGACGCCGCGUGGGGGAAUGAAGGUCUUCGGAUUGUAAACCCCUGUCAUGUGGGAGCAAAUUAAAAAGAUAGUACCACAAGAGGAAGAGACGGCUAACUCUGUGCCAGCAGCCGCGGUAAUACAGAGGUCUCAAGCGUUGUUCGGAAUCACUGGGCGUAAGGCGGGCGUAGGCUGUUUAGUAAGUCGUGUGUGAAAGGCGCGGGCUCAACCCGCGGACGGCACAUGAUACUGCGAGACUAGAGUAAUGGAGGGGGAACCGGAAUUCUCGGUGUAGCAGUGAAAUGCGUAGAUAUCGAGAGGAACACUCGUGGCGAAGGCGGGUUCCUGGACAUUAACUGACGCUGAGGCACGAAGGCCAGGGGAGCGAAAGGGAUUAGAUACCCGUGUAGUC
RNAcentral lists this ribosomal RNA (446 nucleotides) under uncultured bacterium. RNAcentral's name for it is "partial 16S ribosomal RNA". It matches the Rfam family "Bacterial small subunit ribosomal RNA", at positions 338 to 795 of the family's 1533-position model. The record is from RNAcentral.